Small nuclear RNA from Cavia aperea (Brazilian guinea pig), 166 nucleotides. Its record names the gene U1. It matches the Rfam family "U1 spliceosomal RNA". From Rfam's summary of the family: U1 is a small nuclear RNA (snRNA) component of the spliceosome (involved in pre-mRNA splicing). Its 5' end forms complementary base pairs with the 5' splice junction, thus defining the 5' donor site of an intron. The record is from Ensembl. NCBI's taxonomy places the organism in Eukaryota, Metazoa, Chordata, Mammalia, Rodentia, Caviidae.
CUACUUACUAGGCGGGGGGUGGGGAGAUUCCGCAAUCACGAAGGUGGUCUUCCAGGGCAAAGCUCAUCCAUUGCACUGCGGACUUGCUGACCCCUGCCAUUUCUCCUAAUGUGGGAAACUUGACUGCCUAAUUUAUGGUACUGAGGGAGUACAUCACGCCCCCUCU